This 1028-nucleotide ribosomal RNA is filed under the name uncultured bacterium. RNAcentral describes it as "bacterial SSU rRNA". It matches the Rfam family "Bacterial small subunit ribosomal RNA", at positions 338 to 1378 of the family's 1533-position model. The record is from RNAcentral.
CCUACGGGAGGCAGCAGUGGGGAAUAUUGCACAAUGGGCGCAAGCCUGAUGCAGCGACGCCGCGUGAGGGAUGACGGCCUUCGGGUUGUAAACCUCUUUCAGUAGGGAAGAAGCGAAAGUGACGGUACCUGCAGAAGAAGCGCCGGCUAACUACGAGCCAGCAGCCGCGGUAAUACGUAGGGCGCAAGCGUUAUCCGGAAUUAUUGGGCGUAAAGAGCUCGUAGGCGGUUUGUCGCGUCUGCCGUGAAAGUCCGGGGCUCAACUCCGGAUCUGCGGUGGGUACGGGCAGGCUAGAGUGAUGUAGGGGAGACUGGAAUUCCUGGCGUAGCGGUGAAAUGCGCAGAUAUCAGGAGGAACACCGAUGGCGAAGGCAGGUCUCUGGGCAUUAACUGACGCUGAGGAGCGAAAGCAUGGGGAGCGAACAGGAUUAGAUACCCUGGUAGUCCAUGCCGUAAGCGUUGGGCACUAGGUGUGGGGGACAUUCCACGUUUUCCGCGCCGUAGCUAACGCAUUAAGUGCCCCGCCUGGGGAGUACGGCCGCAAGGCUAAAACUCAAAGGAAUUGACGGGGGCCCGCACAAGCGGCGGAGCAUGCGGAUUAAUUCGAUGCAACGCGAAGAACCUUACCAAGGCUUGACAUGGACCGGACCGCCGCAGAGAUGUGGUUUCUCCUUUUGGGGCCGGUUCACAGGUGGUGCAUGGUUGUCGUCAGCUCGUGUCGUGAGAUGUUGGGUUAAGUCCCGCAACGGGCGCAACCCUCGUUCCAUGUUGCCAGCGCGUAAUGGCGGGGACUCAUGGGAGACUGCCGGGGUCAACUCGGAGGAAGGUGGGGACGACGUCAAAUCAUCAUGCCCCUUAUGUCUUGGGCUUCACGCAUGCUACAAUGGCCGGUACAAAGGGUUGCGAUACUGUGAGUGCAGCUAAUCCCAAAAGCCGGUCCUCAGUUCCGGAUUGGGGUCUGCACUCGACUCCAUGAGUCGGAGUCGCUAGUAUCGCAGAUCAGCACGCCGCGGUGAAUACGUUCCCGGG